Small nucleolar RNA from Lontra canadensis (Northern American river otter), 66 nucleotides. RefSeq annotates it as small nucleolar RNA SNORD58. The record is from RefSeq and is a predicted model, not a curated record. Lineage: Eukaryota; Metazoa; Chordata; Mammalia; Carnivora; Mustelidae. The transcript has a single exon.
UUGCUGUGAUGACCAACUUAGGACACCUUUGGAUUAACCAUGAAAAAAAAAUGUGUUCUGAGCAAC